AGUGGGGAAUAUUGGACAAUGGGCGAAAGCCUGAUCCAGCCAUGCCGCGUGUGUGAAGAAGGUCUUCGGAUUGUAAAGCACUUUAAGUCGGGAGGAAGGGCAGUAAGUUAAUACCUUGCUGUUUUGACGUUACCGACAGAAUAAGCACCGGCUAACUUCGUGCCAGCAGCCGCGGUAAUACGAAGGGUGCAAGCGUUAAUCGGAAUUACUGGGCGUAAAGCGCGCGUAGGUGGUUCAGCAAGUUGAAGGUGAAAUCCCCGGGCUCAACCUGGGAACUGCCUCCAAAACUACUGAGCUAGAGUACGGUAGAGGGUAGUGGAAUUUCCUGUGUAGCGGUGAAAUGCGUAGAUAUAGGAAGGAACACCAGUGGCGAAGGCGACUACCUGGACUGAUACUGACACUGAGGUGCGAAAGCGUGGGGAGCAAA
This 427-nucleotide ribosomal RNA is filed under the name uncultured Pseudomonas sp. RNAcentral's name for it is "bacterial SSU rRNA". It matches the Rfam family "Bacterial small subunit ribosomal RNA", at positions 353 to 772 of the family's 1533-position model. Lineage: Bacteria; Pseudomonadati; Pseudomonadota; Gammaproteobacteria; Pseudomonadales; Pseudomonadaceae. The record is from RNAcentral.